CCUACGGGUGGCAGCAGUGGGGAAUAUUGGACAAUGGGGGGAACCCUGAUCCAGCCAUGCCGCGUGUGUGAAGAAGGCCCUCGGGUUGUAAAGCACUUUCAGUGAGGAAGAACGCCUGGUGGUUAAUACCCAUCAGGAAAGACAUCACUCACAGAAGAAGCACCGGCUAACUCCGUGCCAGCAGCCGCGGUAAUACGGAGGGUGCGAGCGUUAAUCGGAAUUACUGGGCGUAAAGCGCGCGUAGGUGGCUUGAUAAGCCGGUUGUGAAAGCCCCGGGCUCAACCUGGGAACGGCAUCCGGAACUGUCAAGCUAGAGUGCAGGAGAGGAAGGUAGAAUUCCCGGUGUAGCGGUGAAAUGCGUAGAGAUCGGGAGGAAUACCAGUGGCGAAGGCGGCCUUCUGGACUGACACUGACACUGAGGUGCGAAAGCGUGGGUAGCAAACAGGAUUAGAUACUCCUGUAGUC
Molecule: ribosomal RNA, 465 nt
Filed under: Vreelandella stevensii
Lineage: Bacteria; Pseudomonadati; Pseudomonadota; Gammaproteobacteria; Oceanospirillales; Halomonadaceae
Description: partial 16S ribosomal RNA
Rfam family: Bacterial small subunit ribosomal RNA
Source: RNAcentral